AAGUCAUGGGAUUAUUAAAACCUAUAGGCGAAAUGAGAUUAACUUGAGUUUAAUGGGAUUACAAAUGGUAUUAAUCAUACUAUUUUUCCAUCCCCGGGUAUCUUAAUCGGUAAGUACUGUGAUCCUUCGGUUGCGUCGUACUACAAAGAUAUACCGUGAGCAUACAAGCUGUGACCCGAAAGAUGGUGAACUAUGCCUGAUCAGGUUGAAGUCAGGGGAAACCCUGAUGGAAGACCGUAGCAAUUCUGACGUGCAAAUCGAUUGUCAGAGUUGGGUAUAGGGGCGAAAGACCAAUCGAACCAUCUAGUAGCUGGUUCCUUCCGAA
This 325-nucleotide ribosomal RNA is filed under the name Ochlerotatus caspius. RNAcentral's name for it is "eukaryotic LSU rRNA". It matches the Rfam family "Eukaryotic large subunit ribosomal RNA", at positions 688 to 965 of the family's 3401-position model. Lineage: Eukaryota; Metazoa; Arthropoda; Insecta; Diptera; Culicidae. The record is from RNAcentral.